This 253-nucleotide ribosomal RNA is filed under the name uncultured bacterium. Its description in RNAcentral is "partial 16S ribosomal RNA". It matches the Rfam family "Bacterial small subunit ribosomal RNA", at positions 524 to 776 of the family's 1533-position model. RNAcentral also lists the same sequence under 2 other names. The record is from RNAcentral.
UACGGAGGAUCCAAGCGUUAUCCGGAUUCAUUGGGUUUAAAGGGUGCGUAGGCGGAAUGAUAAGUCAGUGGUGAAAUCCUGCAGCUUAACUGCAGAACUGCCAUUGAUACUGUCAAUCUUGAGUAUAUUUGAUGUGGGCGGAAUGUGUCAUGUAGCGGUGAAAUGCUUAGAUAUGACACAGAACACCGAUUGCGAAGGCAGCUCACAAAACUAUAACUGACGCUGAGGCACGAAAGCGUGGGUAUCAAACAGG